Non-coding RNA from Pantherophis guttatus, 2102 nucleotides. Lineage: Eukaryota; Metazoa; Chordata; Lepidosauria; Squamata; Colubridae. The record is from RefSeq and is a predicted model, not a curated record.
AGAUACACCCGGAUGGAAAGAGGAAGGUGGGAGUGGGUCGGAGCAGCAGCAGCAGCAGGAGGAGGAGGAGAACGUGGAGGGCUGUAUUUCAACCGGGCGCUAUGAUUCCCCCUCUGCGAGGGUUGUGAGGCUUUGCUGCUUUUGUGCACCUCUCUGGGACCCAUGGCCUUGAACAGGAGGAGUGAAGUGUUCCAGAAGAAAGUCCUGGAAAAACUAUUCCCCGCUCCUGUACUUCCGGAUGUAAUUUCUUCAAGUGUAGAAAGCACUGCUGUUUUGAAAGAUGCAGUUGCAACUCAGGAAGAGCCAAAAAAUGUGGCAGCUUUGGAAAAAGAUUCUAGGGUCCAAGACAAGACAAGUGUGAUUCUACCUUCAAGAAAAAUAUACACUGUGACUCUGCCUCCUGAAGGUUAUGUACCAGUUGCUACUAAUGAAAACAGUAAAGGAUCUUCUGGAAGUGGUGCUGAGGACAGUAAUACUGGUGCUCCAGGAGCCAUGGCAGUGCAGUGGUUAGAAUGCAGUAUUGCAUGCAGACUCUGCCCAACAGCCAGGAGUUUGAUCUCUGUCUUCCAUCCUUCCAAGUUCGGCAGAAUGAGGGUGAAAAUAGAAGUUAACGAAAACAUGGGUGGCUGCCAAAAUCUGCCUCCCUGCUGUGUGUUCUGGCAGCAACCACUACUGCCUGGGAUAAGAAAAGAGGAGAAUGAUAAAGGACAACUUCCAAGAAAGCGACGGAGGAAAAAACGGAAGAAUGUUUGUCAAACUCCUGCUGAUGGACAUGGAAGUCCAGCAAGAUGUGGAGGGCGUGAAAACCCGAUUGGAGAUAACUUGCAGCUGCAACACAGGGACAGUCCAAACUUGACUCAAAACCAAAAGAGGAAGAUGAAAAAGAAGCGGCGGAAAGAAAAAAUGAGAGCAGCUGGCUUACUAGGAAAACCCGUUGCUACCGAAUUCACAUAUAUGCCUGAAGAAAAGAGAGAGAGAGAGUUUGAAGUUGCAGAUAAAGUAGAUGACAUACUGGAUUUUUUGCAAGCAACACAGGAAAUCUAUUUUUCUGACAAGCUAUCAAACAGUGCAGAGUCAGCUGAGAGCUCCGGAAGCAUCCAUGAGGUUUUAAAGAGUCUUGAAUCUGGCAUGUUGUCAUCAUCAGAUAUUACACGUCUUCGUCAAAUGAAAUCAUUCGUCCUUCUGCAGAAUGUGGAGGAACUAAAUAUUGCCCUGAAAGAUCUCAGCACACAUUCAGAGAUGCCUCAUGAUCAAGUCACGGCAAUCUCUUCUUUGUUUCGCUACUGGAUUACAGAUAUCCUUCCUGGAAAGAAGGACAGGAAAUGAGCCGAAUGAGAAUCUCCAUCUGUACAGAGCUAAAAUCUAAACCUCUGAAUUAAAUCUGAGAAUAUUUGGGGAGAAAUAUGUCUUUGAACAGAAUACAGGUUCACAGAGACACUAUUAAUUCUUUUAUUUUAUUUUUUGGCUGGGGGUUUGUUUGUUUGUUUGUUUGUUUGUGACUGGCUGAAUCUGCAAGGGCCUUUCAUGUUUAGUGCACCCAGAGAUCUCAGACAAUGGCCUCAGGGAUGUCCAUCUCACUUUUUAUUUCAAGAAAUUUGGAGUGCCCACCUUACAAGCCAGCAAGUUCCAGCAUUGAUUUAAGAUGUUGGCUAACAACAUGGACCGCAAGAGCUGUGACUUGGACUAGAGAAGCCUGAUGUUCUUUUUCUCAGCUUAAUUCACUUUGAACAAAGCUCAGAAACUCUUUUGAUUGAUCGGUCCACGGGCAAGCUGAGAAACUUCGGAGACCAAUUUACAGGCAGCAGAGAGAAACAUACUGUCUGGUGUGCAAAGACAGGAAAACUUGAGAAGAUUGGCUUUCCCCAUCAUAUCUCUGCUGUUGUUUUUUAAAAUACUCACUGUAGGAGCAGAAUAAAAGGAAGAUUUUCUGAAACCAGAGGAAUAAGGAAUGCAGAGUGUGGAUUGGGAGUAUUUAGUUUAGUUGAGUAUUAGUGACAACGUCAGAGUGGAAGCAUAUUGCGCUACAAAGGAAAGGAGGUCAUGGAGGAAAAGUGACAGGAUUUGGCCUUGAUCAUUGUCAAGACCGCGAGAUACAUAUUAGA